UACAGAGGUGGCAAGCGUUGUUCGGAAUUACUGGGCGUAAAGAGCUCGUAGGCGGUGUGUCACGUCGGCCGUGAAAACCUGCAGCUUAACUGUGGGCGUGCGGUCGAUACGGGCAUCACUGGAGUUCGGCAGGGGAGACUGGAAUUCCUGGUGUAGCGGUGAAAUGCGCAGAUAUCAGGAGGAACACCGGUGGCGAAGGCGGGUCUCUGGGCCGAUACUGACGCUGAGGAGCGAAAGCGUGGGGAGCAAACAGG
Molecule: ribosomal RNA, 254 nt
Filed under: uncultured bacterium
Lineage: Bacteria
Description: partial 16S ribosomal RNA
Rfam family: Bacterial small subunit ribosomal RNA
Source: RNAcentral